This 338-nucleotide unclassified non-coding RNA is filed under the name soil metagenome. RNAcentral's name for it is "partial contains 5.8S ribosomal RNA, internal transcribed spacer 2, and large subunit ribosomal RNA". The stretch from base 1 to 120 matches the Rfam family "5.8S ribosomal RNA", at positions 35 to 154 of the family's 154-position model. The record is from RNAcentral.
GAUGAAGAACGCAGCGAAAUGCGAUAAGUAAUGUGAAUUGCAGAAUUCAGUGAAUCAUCGAAUCUUUGAACGCACAUUGCGCCCGCCAGCAUUCUGGCGGGCAUGCCUGUUCGAGCGUCAUUUCAACCCCCAAGCUCUGCUUGGUGUUGGGGCCCUACGGUUGACGUAGGCCCUUAAAGGUAGUGGCGGACCCUCUCGGAGCCUCCUUUGCGUAGUAACUAACGUCUCGCAUUGGGAUUCGGAGGGACUCUUGCCGUAAAACCCCCAAAUUUUCUAAUGGUUGACCUCGGAUCAGGUAGGAAUACCCGCUGAACUUAAGCAUAUCAAUAAGCGGAGGA